Molecule: ribosomal RNA, 93 nt
Filed under: Trichobilharzia regenti
Lineage: Eukaryota; Metazoa; Platyhelminthes; Trematoda; Strigeidida; Schistosomatidae
Source: RNAcentral
UUUGGCGACCAUACCACGUUGAAAGCAUCGUUUCUCGUCCGAUCGCCGAAGUUAAGCAACGUUGGGCCCGGUUAGUACUUGCAUGGGUGACCG